RNAcentral lists this ribosomal RNA (433 nucleotides) under uncultured bacterium. RNAcentral's name for it is "partial 16S ribosomal RNA". It matches the Rfam family "Bacterial small subunit ribosomal RNA", at positions 29 to 507 of the family's 1533-position model. The record is from RNAcentral.
AGCGAACGCUGGCGGCAGGCCUAACACAUGCAAGUCGAACGAACACUUCGGAGUUAGUGGCGGCUGGGUGAGGAGCCCGUGGGGACGUGACUAUAGGUUCGGCAUAACUCUGGGAAUCUUGUGAUAAUACCGAACGUGCGCUUAGGGGGAAAGAUUUAUCGACUUUCGUGCGGCCCGCGUCGGAUUCGCUUGUUAGGGAGGUAAAGGAUCAUUAAGGCGACGAUCAGCAGCUGGUCUGAGAGAAUGGUCACCGACACUGGGACUGGGACGCGGCCCGAACUCCUACGCGAGGCAGGAGAGGGGGAUCGUGCGCAACGGGCGAAGUGCUGACGCAGCCAGGCCGGGUGAAUGAUGAAGGUCGUAGGAUAGUAAAAUUCUUGCAACGGUGACGAUAAUGACGGUACCCGGAGAAAAAGCCCCGGCUAACUUCGUG